AACGAACGCUGGCGGCAUGCCUAACACAUGCAAGUCGAACGAGACCUUCGGGUUUAGUGGCGCACGGGUGCGUAACGCGUGGGAACCUGCCUUUAGGUUUGGAAUAACACAGAGAAAUUUGAGCUAAUACCGGAUGAUGUUUUCGGACCAAAGAUUUAUCGCCUUUAGAUGGGUCCGCGUUGGAAUAGCUAGUUGGUGGGGUAAAGGCCUACCAAGGCGACGAUCCAUAGCUGGUCUGAGAGGAUGAUCAGCCACACUGGGACUGAGACACGGCCCAGACUCCUGCGGGAGGCAGCAGUGGGGAAUAUUGGACAAUGGACGAAAGCCUGAUCCAGCAAUGCCGCGUGAGUGAUGAAGGCCUUAGGGUUGUAAAGCUCUUUUACCCGAGAUGAUAAUGACAGUAUCGGGAGAAUAAGCUCCGGCUAACUCCGUG
RNAcentral lists this ribosomal RNA (433 nucleotides) under uncultured bacterium. RNAcentral's name for it is "partial 16S ribosomal RNA". It matches the Rfam family "Bacterial small subunit ribosomal RNA", at positions 29 to 507 of the family's 1533-position model. The record is from RNAcentral.